This 10873-nucleotide long non-coding RNA is filed under the name Homo sapiens (human). RNAcentral's name for it is "HSALNT0085567". Lineage: Eukaryota; Metazoa; Chordata; Mammalia; Primates; Hominidae. The record is from RNAcentral.
UCAAGAACCAGGGACGAAGACCCUACACGGGUACCAUAUGCUGCCAUCUUUAAAAAUCCUCGGACCCAGGGAGAGAGAUAAGUGUUGCUGUGAGUAGAUGGAUCCUUCGGCCUUCCUACUUCACUAUUUUCACUGAUUGCACUCUGUUUGAGAUUUGUUCUACACUCCAGUAUACGAUCUAUCUUGGCAAGUGUUCCACGAGCUUGGGGGAAAAAUGUAUUCUCCAGAGUUUGACUCUUUUCAUCGAGAAUAAUCUGGCGCCCAAACACAUGGAGCCUCAGAGAAGAAUCAGGACCCCAGAGGAGUUGCUUGAAAUGGGAGCUAAGGUACUAGCAGGGGCCCAAUGAAGGCCAACCGAGUUCAAGCUUCUCCUCCAGUGAAAAUGGGAUCGUGGCCUCACAGGCUUCAAGGAAUGAAUCCGUGGACCGCGGUGGUGAGUGUUACAGCUUGACUGGAGAAACGCGUGUACCCAACGAGUGUGCGGUGGCAAGAUUAAAGUGAAAGCGAAAGUAAAGCGAAAGCGAAAGUGAAAGUAAAAGUCUUACAGAUGCAACUCCCUGCUGGGAACCCAAACCCGUUUCACCAGAAAAGUGAAAGCAUAAGGAAGGAAAUGGGCAUCUGCAAAGAAUCCAAGCAAGAGAAGGAGCAACCGGCUUGUGAACUCACUCCCUUAAGACAGCAUUAAUGUAUUCAAGGGGAUCUGCCCUGUGAUCCAAACACCGCCUACUAGGUCUCACUUCCCAACACUGCCACAUUGGGAAUCAAAUUUCAACAUGCGUUUUGUCAGCGACAAAUCACUUCCAAGCCAUAGCAACCACGUACCCACAAAUAAGAGUCGUAAUCUAUUAGGGUUUUUCUUAAGUUGAUCAUUUUUUCUGUAUAUAAAGUGACACAUUUCAGAAUAAAUUAGUAUGAUUUAAUCCUGUCUCAGUGACUAUUCUUUCUUUUAUCAAAAUGGUUUAUUAUGAUAAAUGUAGUGGUCAUAUUUCAAAUGCAUUGUUUACCUUUGCAUACACUGUAUAUAUAGAAUCCUCAAAAACAUAUGGUAUUAUGAAAUUUUUAUAUUUGCAUGUGCAAUAUCAUAUAACAUUAUUAUACAGUGUGCUUUUACCACUCAAAAUUAUGUUUCUGAGUUCUACAUCUAUCUAUAUCUAUGUAUGUAAAGAUUGACCUAUAUGUGAUAUUGUUCUACAAAUAGAAUUUUUCUAUUUUCAGUAAUUUAUUAUUAUGAACAUCAUGCUAUAAACAUUCAUAUGCCUUUCUACUUCUAUAAAGUUGCAAGAACUUCUCUGUCAUUUACUCAGAAGUAGUGUUUCUGGUCUUUAUAGUAACUUUUAUUUUUUAUUUAUUUUUUUAUUUCCAUAGUUUUGGGGGUACAGGUGGUUUUUGGUUACAUGGAUGAGUUCUACAGUGGUGAAUUCUGAGAUUUUAAUGAACCCAUCACCCAAGCAGUGUACACUGUACCAAAUAUGUAAUCUUUUAUUUCUCACUCCCCUCUCAACCUCUGACCUUGAGGCCCCAAAGUCCAUUAUAUAAUUCUGUGUGUCUUGGACUCAUCAAAGCUUAGCUUCCACUUAUAAAUGAGAACAUAUGGUAUUUGGUUUUCCACUCCUGAGUUACUUCACUUCAAAUAAUGGCCCCAGCUCCAUUCAACUUGCAGCAAAUAUUUCAUUCCUUUUUAUGGCUGAGUAGUAUUCCAUGGUGUAUAUACACUACAUUUUCUUUAUUGAUCACUCAUUGGUCAGUGGGCACUUAGGUUGAUUCCAUAUCUUUGCAAUUGCUAAUUGUGCUGCUAUAAACGUGUGUGCAUGUGUUCUUUUCAUACAAUGACUUCUUUUCCUUUGGAUAGAUACCCAGUAUUGAGAUUUCUAGAUCAAAUGAAAGUUCUACUUUUAGUUCUUUAAGGAAUCUCCAUACUGUUUUCCAUAGUGGUUGUACUCAUUUACAUUCCCACAAGAAGUAUAACAGUUCUUCCUUUUCGCCAAAUCCAACAAAUAUCUAUUGUUUUUGACUUUUCAACUGUGGUCAUUUUUGCAAGAUUAAGGUGAUAUUUCAUUGUGGUUUUAAUUUGUAUUUCCAUGAUAAUAAGUGAUGUUGAGCACACUAAUGUGUUUGUGUAUCUUUAUCUUCUUUGGAUAAAUGUUUGUAUAUCUUCUUUGGAGAAAUGCCUGUUCACAUCCUUUACCCACUUUUUGAUAGGAUUAUUUGCUUUUUUUCUUUUGAUUUGUUUGAGUUCCUUAUAGAUUCUGGAUACUAGUCCUUUGUCAUAUGCAUAGUUUGCAAAUAUGUUCUCUCAUUCUGUGGGUUUUCUGUUUACUCUGCAUAGCAAAAUAAAUAUUUUUUUUCUAUGCAGCAGGUUUAUAGUUUAAUUACGUCCCAUUUAUUUAUUUUUGUUUGUGUUGAAUUUGCUUUUGGGGUCCUAGUCAUUAAUUAUUUGCCUAGGCCAAUGUUCCAAAGAGUUUUUUCAAAGUUAUCUUCUACAAUUUCUAUGGUUUCAGGUCUUAGAUUUAAGUCAUUGAUACACCUUCAGUUGAUUUUGUAUAAGGGAAAAGAUGAGGAUCCAGUUUAAUUCUUCCACUAGUGGCUUGCCAGUUACCCAGCCCCAUUUCUUAAAUAGGGUUUCUUUUCCCCCGUUUAUGUUUUUGUAUGCUUUGUUGAAGAACAGUUGGCUGUAAGUAUUUGGCUUUGUUUCUGGGUUCUCUUUUCUGUUCCAUUGGUCUAAGUGCCUGUUUUUACACCAGUGUAAUACUGUUUUGAUAACUGUAACUUUGUAGCAUAAUUUGAAUUCCAGUAAUGUCAUGCCUCAAGAUGUGUUAUUUUUGCUUAGAUUACUUUGGCUAUUGGGGCACUUUUUUAGUUCCAUAUGAAUAUUAGAAUUGUUUCUUCUACUUCUGUGAAAAAUGGUGAUAGGAUUUUGAUGGGAAUUGCAUUGAAUCUGUAGAUUUCUUUGGGGAUAGUGGUGAUUUUUGCAAUAUUAAUUCUUCCCAUCCAUAAGCAUGGGAUGUGUUUCCAUUUAUUUGUUUGUGCCAUCUAUGAUUUAUUUCAGUAGCGUUUUGCAGUUUUCCUUGUAGAGAACUUUCACUUCCUUGGAUAAGUAUAUUCCUAGGUAUUUGUGUUUUUUUGCAGCUUUUGUAAAGGCGAUUGAGUUCUUUAUUUGAUUAUCAGCUUGGUUGUUGUUGGUGUAUAGCAGUACUACUGAUUUGUGUACACUAAUUUUGUAACCUGAGACUUUAUUGAAUAUGUUUAUCAAAUCUAGGAGCUAUUUGGAUGAGUCUUUAGGGUUUUCUAGGUAUGUAAUCAUAUCAUCAAAGGACAGUGACAGUGUGACUUCCUCUUUUUUAAUUUUGAUGCCCUUUAUUUCUUUCUCUUGCAUUAUUUCUCUUCCAGUGCUAUGUUGAAUAGAAGUCAUGAAAGUGGGCAUCCUAUUCUUUUUCCAGUUUUCAGGGGGAAUGCUGUAAACUUUUAUUCAGUCAAUACGAUGUUGGCUGUGGAUUUGUUAUAUACAGUUUUUAGUACUUUGAGGUAAGUCCCUUCUAUGCCUACUUUGUUGAGAGCUUUUACCACAAAGGGAUACUGGAUUUUAUCUACUGCUGUUUCUGUGUCUAUUGAGAUAAUUAUAUGGUUUUUUGUUUUUAAUUUUGUUUAUAUGAUGUCUAGUUUCCUUUUUGUUAUGUCCUUUCCUGGUUUUGAUGUUAGGGUGAAACUGGCUUCAUAGAAUUCUUUAGGGAGAGUUCCUUAUUUCUGUAUCUUUUGGAAUAGUUUCAGUAGGCUUGCUACCAAUUCUUCCUUGAAUGUCUGGUAGACUUCAGCUGUGAAUCAACCUGGUUGUAGACAUUUUUUUUCCUUGGCAGUUUUUUUAUUACUGAUUCAAUCUCACUGCUUGUUAUUGUUCUGUUCAGGAUUUCUAUUUUUUCCUGGUUUAAUGUAGGAGGAUUAGAUGCUUCCAAGAAUUAAUUCAUUUCAUCUAGAUAUUCUAGUUUGUGCUUUUAAAGGUGUUCAUUGUAGCCUUGAAUAAUCUUUUGUAUUUCUGUGGCAUCAGUUGUAAUGUCUCUAGUUUCAUUUCUAAUUGAGCUUAUUUGAAUCUUAUCUCUUCUUUUCUUGGUUAAUCUCCCUAAAGGUCCAACACUUUCUUUUAUGUUUUCAACAAACCAGUUUUUUUGUGUGUCAUUUAUCUUUUGUAUUUUUCCAGUUUCCCUUUCAUUUAAUUCUGCUCUGAUCUUUGUGAUUUUUUUUUUUCUUCUCCUGGCUUUCAGUUUAAUUUGCUCCUGUUUCUGUAGUUCCUUGAAGCGUGACAAGAGGCUACCAUUUGUGCUGUUUCAGACUUUUGGAUAUAGGCAUUUAAUGCUAUAAAAUUUCCUCUUAGCGUUGCUUUUGCUGUAUCCUGGAGGAUUUGAUAACUUGUGUCACUAUUAUCGUUCAUUUCAAAGAAUUUUCUAAAUUACUAUCUUGAUUCCAUUGUUAAUCCAAAAAUCAUUCAAGAGCAGAUUAUUUAAUUUCCAUGUAUUUGUAUAAUUUUGAGGGUUCCUUUUGAAGUUGAGUUCCAGUUUUAUUUCCCUGUGGUCUGGGAAAGUACUUGAUAUAUCAAUUUCAAUUACCUUAAAUUUAUUAAAACUUAUUUUGUGGCCUAUAAUAUGGUCCUAUCUUGGAGAAUGUUCCAAGUGCCGAUGAGAAUGUAUAUUCUACAAUUCUUGGGAAGAAUUUCUGUAAAUAUCUGUUAAGUCCAUUUGUUCUAGGGUAUAAUUUAAGUCCAUUGGUUCUUUGUUGACUUUCUGUCUUUAUGAUCUGUCUAGUGCUGUCAAUGGAGUAUUAAAGUCCCCCACUAUUAUUUUUUUGCUGUCUGUCUCAUUUCUUUGGUCUAGUAAUAAUCUUAUUAAAAAUCUGGGAGCUUUAGUGUGAGGUGCAUAUAAAUUUAGGAUUGUAAUAUCUUCUUGUUGGACUGAUUCUUUUAUCAUUAUAUAAUACCCUUCUUUGUCUUUUUAUACUGCUAUUUCUUUAAAGUCUGUUUUGUCUGAUGUAAGCAUAGCUUCUCCUACUUAAUUUUUAUUUGUGUUUGUAUAGAAUAUCUUUUUCUAUUCUUUUGCCUUGAGUUUAUAGAAAUCCCUAUGUGUUAAGUGAGUCUCUUGAAGAAAGAGGAAAUUUGGUAUGUGAUUUUUAAAAAUCCAUUCUGCCAUUCUGUAUCUUUUAAGUGGAGUAUUUAGACCAUUUAUAUUCAAUGUUAAUAUUGAGAUGUGAGAUACUGUUAGAUUCAUCAUGUUAGUUGUUACCUACUUUGUGUUUUUUUUUCAUUGUGCUAUUAUUUUAUAGACCCUGUGAAUUUUAUACUUUUAGAAGGUUCUAUUUGGUUUAUAUUGAGUUUUUGUUUCAGGAUUUAGACUCAUUUUAACAUUUCUUGUAGAGUUGGUUUGGUAGGGGCAAAUUCCCUCAGCAUUUGUUUGUCUGAAAGAUCUUUCUUGCUGCUGCUUCAACUUUUAUAUUUCUCACUGCUCCCUCAAUCAGUUCUAGCCCUGGGUAGGGUUAAGGUCUUCUCCCUUGGCCUGAAUUCUUAGGUUCCCUGAUGGAAAUGUAUAUCCUAAAGGCAGUCUCUCUCCCUCUCACACUCUGAGGACUUAUAGAUUUUUGCCUGUCUCAUGGAGUAAGCUGCAGCCUGGCGCUGCCUUCAAAAGGUCUGUGGAUUCUUUUUUUUUUUUUUUUUUUCUGUUAAGUUCUUGCAUUGAAUCUUAUACUGUGAAUCUCUACACACUAUUUUGUCUGUCCAAGUGAGAGAGGCAUGCUAACACUGCCUGCAAUCUGCCAUCCUGGAAAAAAAACAAAACCAAAAGCUUUACAUUAAAAAUGAAUCCUACCAAAAAUAUCUCUAAGGUGGUUGUCAAAAAUUUGUAUUUUCUUCAUUAAUCCACAUGCUUGCCAAAAUUAAUAUAAGCAAAUAAUUUAUUAUUUGAAACACUGAUGAUAUUGUCUUGUGUAUUUUAACUUUUUUCAUAUAUAAUAUCUAAUAUACAUAUAAUAAAAUGUGUAUGUCAAAAUCAUAGUUUGCUUAAUUUGCACAAAUUGAACACACGUGUGCAACCAACAAUCGUAACUCAGAUUAGGAAAUAAAAUUCUACCACUAUUUCAAUUACCACCUCAUGCUCCCUUCCAGACACUACCUAUCUCAAAUGUCACCAUAGUCCUAGUUUCAAGUAAAUUUAUUUUACCUAAAUCAUUCUUUAGAUAAAUUGUGGCUUACAGUCAAUAUUCUAUUGUGUCUGACUUCUUCUGCUUAGCAUUUUGUUAGUGAGAUUAAUCUUCAUAGUUGUACACAGAUAAUGUAUUCUAAGUUUUGGUAGUCAUGUUUUACAGCAUUUCAUUGUAUCUAUAUACCCUAUUUUAUUUAUACAUUCAAAUUUGAUGGGAAUAAAGUAUAUUUUGGGGAAGUGAGUGCUAUUAUAAAUAGUAUAGCUAUAAGCUUUUUAGUAAAUAUAAUUUAAUUAACAAGUGUAUUAAUUCAUUUUGUGUAUAUAUCUUCAAAUGCACUUAGGGGGCCACAGGAUACACAUAUGUUCAAUUUUAGAAGAUAACGAAAAAUAUUUUUCCAGAAUCAUUGUUCAAAUGUAUACUCUCACCAGCGGUGUAUAAAAUAUUGGAUGUACAUAUCCCGGACAAAACUUGGAAUUGUCAUUCAUUUUCAUUUUAGCCAUUCUUGUUUGUGAAAAUUUAUAUCAUUUCACUGGUGGUUGAUGGAGUUAAACAUCUUUUAAAAAGAUGCUUAUUGUCCAUUUAAAUAUGCUUUAAUGUGAAAUACUCAUUUCUUCUUGCUGCUUUUUGGAUCAUUUAGCAUUUUCUUGUUCAUUUGUUGUAUAAAAUAAAUCGAUAUAAGUACAGUGACGAUCUUUCAUUAAUUAGUAGCUUGUCUUUUUCUUCCUUAACUGUAAUUCUUGAAGAACAAGUGUUCUCAAUUUUAUUAUAGCCUGUGUUUUCCUAUAACAAAUUGUGCUUAGUGAAACAUGUUUUAAAACUAUCUAUCCCACAUUAUUAUCAUAAAUCUAUUUUUCUAUAGCCCCCUCUAAAAUAUUUAUUGUUUUAAUUUUAUAAUUAUAUGUGCAAUCAUUUUGAAUAUAAUCAAUAAUAUAACUUAGAAUAUAUGAAAUAAACAUUGAUGGAAAUAAAUUAAAUACAGACAUUCCAUAAUUCUGGUGGUGGGACUUCAACACAUUUUCCUCAACAGCUAAUAUUACCAGUCAAAAUAUCAGUGUGGCUGUAAAAUGUGUGAACAAAACAAUCAUUAAAUUUGACCUAAUAGGCAUUUAUGGAACACUUUGCAUAAUUACAUUCUUUUCAAUUGUUUAUGCAACAUUUACGACAUUGACUUAUAAAGAAAAUGACCAAUUUCAAAAUAUUAAAAUCCUUUGUGUUUUUUCAGAACUUAAACAAAAAUCGGAUUUAAGCUAAAAAUAAACAAGUAGAUAACCAGAAAAAAAUCCAAUUUGCAGAGUAAAAUGUAUACACUGCUAAAUAAUUAUAAAGUUAAAUAACCAUAUACAAAUUUUAAAAAUAUUUGAACAUAAUGAUAAUAUGGCAGCCACGGCAUAUUCUCUCUUGUAUGAUGCAGCUAUCAUAAUACUUAGAAAUAAUUUGAUAGCCUUAAACAUAUAUACUAGAGAAGAAAAAUCAGAAGAAAAUUAAUGACUUAAUUUUCCAUUUCAAAAAGUUAGAAGAAUAACCGGAAAAUCAAAUCUGAAGGACAAAGAAGAAAUAAUCCAACCUAGAACAAGAGUCAAUGAAAUAGAAAACAAACAUAAAAUAGAGCAAAUCAAGAAAGCUAACCAUAGUCCGUCUAAAAAGAUUUAUUAAAUUAAUAAAUUUAUAGCAAGAUGAUAGAGACUAAAUAGAGAUGUUUCCAAAAUCAGAUGUUUCCAAUUCUUCCAAAAAAGAAUAAUACCAAACAAGAGUAUCAUCCCAAAUCUUCCUGACAAACUUAAAGUAACAAGUGAACAUUGUGAGCAACUAAACAUUACAUUUGAUAGUUUGAAUAAAGUAGAUUAAUUCUCCAAAUAAUUACCCUACUGAAGACUACUGGAGAAGAAAUAUAAGACAUGAAGGCUCUGAUAUCAUUAAAAUAUUAUAAAGACAUUUUUUAAAAACCUUUCAAUACAGAAAGACCAAAGAUAUGAUGGACCCAGUGGUGAAUUUUUCUUAAACAUGUUUUCCUUUAAGAAAUUAAGGAACAAAUAAAGUUAAUCUUACACAAGUCAUUUUAGGGAGUAGAAAAUGAGUGGAAAUUUACACUUGGAGACUACUGAAUCCCUGCUUCUAUAACUGUGACUGAAACUUGGCCACGUAAUUAAUAUCAAAACAUUUCUCCUAUUUUUGAAAAAUUGACUUAAAAUUAUAUCUCACAUAAUUGUAAUUUUGACUACAACUCUAACUAAAUUAUCUUUGUUAUUCCCAUUAUUAUUCUCAUUUCUUUUUUAAUUGAUCACAGUUUUGUUUUAUUUUAUAUUUGUUUCUAAAGCAACAACAUACAUAAAAGCAACAAGGAAAUUAUAACUAUUUUGAGAGUGUCUGAAAUCACUCGGGUGAUUUUCAAGAAUGAAUACUUUAGUCUGGAAAAGAAGUAAGAAAACCUAAACUUGCAAAGGACAUUGCUUGCAGGGCACUCUAACAACCAAAAACCGUGGUGUAGAAGUUCACCUGCCCAGAAUGUAAUACUAGUCCCUACUCAACUUCCAGAUACUCAGUUUCGAUCUAUAAAAUGUAAGAAAUGGUAUUGCAUUCCUCAAAGAAUUGUUUUUGAAGAAUUAUGAGAUGAUUAUAAAUUCCUCAGAACAGUGCAUGACUUUGGUAUGCGCUUAGUAUCAGACAUUAUUUAUUAUUGAUAACUCAUGAGUGAAUGAUAAGACAGGGUGUAAAAAGAGGUAGUUUUAAGUGCAGGGUAAGUGUAUGUGCAAACAGCUGCAGAAAGAUCUCUUUAUGAAGGGCAAUGUGGGAGAGUUCAUCCAUUUAAGGAGUUCUAGGUGUGGUUUCUGUGGAAUAUAGAUUGCUUACAAGUGAGGCUUUGAAAGCUUGGGCAAUGACUGGCUUUAGGGACAAAAGACUAUCUUAUUUUUGUAAGCAAUGUAUUGAGGGUAAUGUCCUGUGUGAGUCUGAGUACCUCUACCAUGUAGCCUUGUAGGGUAGCUUAAGGACUAUGAGACUGAGGAAGGUCAAUGCUGAGUGAACAUUCAUGACAUGGGACAAAGAGAACAAGAAGAUGCCUUAAGACUGGAUCCUUUAUGAAUAUUUGUUUUUCUGUUUCUUCCACUUUUUUAUAAAGAUGGAAUGGAAGGAUUGACCUGAAUUCCUCCAUUUGAGAAAGAAUAACACUGAUCUUGCAAAAUAAUUGUAUAGAGAUACAUAACAAGAUGACAAGUUUAUACACAAAAUUGCAAAAAAGCUGCAGCUUCUUCAGUUUCUAUGUUAAGCCUCUUGAGCUUCAAGGCACCAGGGGUUGUGGGAGAACAUUUAACUUACCAACGAACUUACUCUAGUCUCUGGGUUUUAAAACAAUCUCUAUUUCUCUGGUCUAUGAGCCUGUCUCCUUUGGAGAACUUCUUGUUUUUAUUCUGUUUCUGGUUUGUUUUGUUUGGGUUUUAAGGUGCGUGUAAAUAAUAGGAGGCUUGCCUGGUUUUGUUUGUACCUAGAGAGUAAUGUUAAUAUUUCAACACUGGUCUUUGCUUUAUCUUCUGUGCAGUGAUGACUCCCUACAGUGAGAUGAAUAGUCUGGCCAGGUCUGUAGAAUGAAUACCUGGAAAAGAAGAAAAGCGCAUGAACAUUUUUUUAUUGAUGUAUUUUUCUUGUUUUGAAUAUGAGCAAGAGGAUUUUAAGGGCAAACAGAGUGCCAGGAAUUCCCUACAAAGUUUCCAUCAGGAAUUUAAUUCUUUGAAGGAAAAAGAGCACUGAUGGAAGGAGAAUCCUUACUGAAAAAAAUUCAGUGGCACAUAUUGAAAAAAAAUAAUAAGCAUGUAAGGGAGCAUAUUGGCUAUGGCUGUUUGAUACCUUGGCCCAAAGCAAGAGGACAAGAUAUUUAUAUUUCAUUCAUCUUCAUUUGCUUUAAAUUGAGGUCCAAUUUACAAUAUGUAAAAUUAAUUAUUAAUUAUUUUAACACAUAAAAUUAAGUGUCAUUUGGUUCAUUCACAAGAUUGUGGAGCGUCUAUCUGCUUCCAAGACAGUCUCAUCACCCCAAAACGUUUUGAAAGUGGGCAAACUCCUACUCUUAAGGAUUGUUGUUUGCAGGCCAGGCACAAUGCCUCACACCUGCAAUCCCAGCAGUGUGAAUGGCUGAAGCAGGAGGACGCUUGAGCCCAGGAGUCUGAGACCAGCCUGGGCGACAUAACAAGACCCCAUCUCAAAAAGAAGAAGAAAAAAAAACUAUAAAAAGGAUUCCUGUUUGCUAAUGGGAUCGCACUUUUUGGUUCUGAUUAUGACAGUGGCAUAAUUGAAGUCGCUUUUUAUCUGACCAAUGUUAGCAGCGAAGAGCACAGUGUACUCGCCACUCUCCUCAUUCACUCUUCAGGCCGCAUAGUCUCACAUUCCUUUGGGAAAGUUGUUCUCAUUACCGCCAUCUUGACACUGUCUGUUCUGUGCAAGCAAAACUGUAAAUGUCUUUAGAGUAAUUUGUAAUCUAGAAAAUAAAAUGAAUUAUUGGUCUUCCAGCUUUGUCUACUGUUUAUUGAGUUUAUUUUAAUACCUCUUCUCUGCUUCCAUUAUACCUCUGCUUGAACCUUAAGGCUCCUACGUAUUAGGUCACCAAUUUUAUACAUAUACUAUGUAUUAGGUCACCACUUUUGUACACUUUUAUAUACAGCAUUUAGUCUCAUGCUUUGUAUACUAAAGAGAACAGUACACAUAAAUACGA